RNAcentral lists this unclassified non-coding RNA (205 nucleotides) under rhizosphere metagenome. RNAcentral's name for it is "partial ribosomal RNA internal transcribed spacer region". The record is from RNAcentral.
GUAGGUGAACCUGCGGAAGGAUCAUUAACAAAUAUUCAACACUGACGUCCCAUCUUUAGUUAUUGUACUACUUUUGUGAAGGCAACUUUUCAAAAGUGUGUAUAUACUCUAAAGAUGGUGUCUAACACACACACUUUGAUUGACAACACCUAGUGAUACUCUAGUUAACCGUAAACAACUUUUAACAAUGGAUCUCUUGGCUCUU